This 86-nucleotide transfer RNA is filed under the name Candidatus Woesearchaeota archaeon. RNAcentral describes it as "tRNA-Leu". It matches the Rfam family "tRNA". From Rfam's summary of the family: Transfer RNA (tRNA) molecules are approximately 80 nucleotides in length. Their secondary structure includes four short double-helical elements and three loops (D, anti-codon, and T loops). Lineage: Archaea; Nanobdellati; Candidatus Woesearchaeota. The record is from RNAcentral.
GCGGAGGUGGCAGAGCAUGGUCAAAUGCGCUAGCUUGAGGGGCUAGUCCCUAAGUGGGUGCGAGGGUUCAAAUCCCUUCCUCCGCA